GAUUAUAUAAAGAGUUAUUUUUAUUUUUAUAAUAUAUUUGAUUAGUAUUAUGAGUGAAGGUUGAGGUUAUUUUAUAGAGUAGUUAGUACUGUUUAGGAAGUGUGGUUAAUUGUUAGGAAUAUUAGGUUAUUUAUUACCUUUUGUAUUAGGGUUUUUUAAUUUAAUUAAAUAUUAAUUUUGUCUUGAUGAAUAUCGGGCUAUUAUUUAAGUGUGGGUUUUGUUGCAUAAAAUUAUUUAUUAUUUAAUAGUUAUGAAAUAUUAUUCAAGUUAUUUUUUAUCUAGUUUUCUAAGGAGUAUAAUAGUAGAUAUUUAUAUUAUAAAGGUAGGUGGGGAUUAGCUUAUUUAUUGUUUAUAUGUUUUUGUUGGUAUUGUUUAUUAGUGAAGUUGAAAGUUCUUAGUUUGAUGGUGUUAUUAGAAAUUAAGUUUUUUUGUUAAUUUUUAAGAUUUAUGUGUGAAUUGGAAAUUUUAUUUUAAUUUUUAUUUUAAUGAUAUAAUGAUAAAAUUAGUAAUAGUAUUUAUUUAUUUGUUUUGAUAUUAAAUUGUUUAAAAUAAUAGGUUAUAUUUUAUAUUAAGAGUGAAGAAUUCGGCAAAAUUAGCUUUUGACUGUUUAGCAAAAACAUUGUUUUUUGUUAGAAUAAAAAAUAAUUUCUGUCCACUGUCAGUAUGAUGAAGGGCUGCAGUAUUUUGACUGUAUGAAGGUAGCAUAAUCAUUAGCUUUUUAAUUGGAAGCUGGUAUGAAGGUAUAACAGAGGCUGGCUAUUUUAUUCUUAUUUGGUGAAUUUUAUUUUUAUGUGAAAAAUCAUAAGUGGAUUAAAGGGACAAGAAGACCCUAAUAAAUUUAAUUUUUUGUUAUAAUGCAUAUAUAGGUUAUUUAUUUAUAUAAUUUAUAAUUAAAGAGUUUGACUGGGGCGGUAUGUAAAAAAACAUUAUUUAUUAUUUAAUUUUUGAUAGCGUAAUUAAGACCUAAGAUGAUUAGGUGGGUGUUAAAUUACUGUAGGGAUAACAGCGUAAUUUUUUUUAAGAGUUCUUAUUGACAGAAAAGUUUGCGACCUCGAU
Molecule: ribosomal RNA, 1056 nt
Filed under: Semionellus placidus
Lineage: Eukaryota; Metazoa; Arthropoda; Diplopoda; Polydesmida; Xystodesmidae
Description: partial large subunit ribosomal RNA
Source: RNAcentral